This is an RNA transcript of Aegilops tauschii subsp. strangulata, 2156 nucleotides long. RefSeq lists it as uncharacterized. NCBI's taxonomy places the organism in Eukaryota, Viridiplantae, Streptophyta, Magnoliopsida, Poales, Poaceae. The record is from RefSeq and is a predicted model, not a curated record.
AGCACAGCACAGCACAGCACAGCACAUCACGAGGCUUCUUCUUCUCCGUCUCUGUCGAUCCCCACUCUGGAGAGCUCCAAUCCACUCGCAAAUCACUUCAAUCCGACACAUCCACCAUCUAAUCAGCCACCAAAUCGAAGCUAACUAUGCAUCUCAUCGCCUAGCAGCAGCACGCCGGAGGCGGAGGGGAUCGAGGAGGAGGCAGGAGCCGCCGGAUCCAUCGAGCUACCGCGCGGCGGAUCCAGAUCCACCACCACCCGCGGGAGGGGUGAUGAGGAGCCGCGUCCUGGGAGCAGGGCGCCGCCGCCUGGGCCUGGGCCGCAUCUCAGCGGUCGGUUCUACUUCUAUCUAGGGUUUCAACCAACAAAUCGGCCUCCUAAUCCCGGCCAUGGAGUCGCCGCCGCACAAGCUCAAUGUCGGCCGGGACGAGGACCGAAUCAGCGCGCUCACCGACGACCUCCUCGUCGGAAUCCUCGAGCGCCUCGACCUGCGCGAGGCGGUCCGCGCCAGUGCACUCUCGUCGCGGUGGCGUCACCUCCCCUACCGGCUAUCGCGCCUGCACCUCGAGGUCGGUCACUUCCAAGGCGCCACGCCGCUCGAGGUCAUGGACGCUUUCACGGGCGCGGCACAGAGGUUGCUCUCUCUGGUGGUUCCUCUGGCCGAGGGCGAGGGCGGCAGUGCUGCCAUCAUUCCCAUCAAAGCCCUCGUCCUCAGCUUUUACAUGUCACCCCCUCACCUGAGCGCCAUAGGCCGCACCGUCGAGGACGCUGUGAGCUACGGCAAGACCGAAUACCUUGAGUUCUCCAUAUCCCUGCCGCGAGGGAGCAACGCCAGCCUGCUUGCUGAAUUCGGGCAGCAGUUCAUGUCCUUCUCCCAGGCCUACCCGGUCGCCUUCUGGUGGCUCACGAGGCUUACACUCAAGAACCUUGUGUUUGGACAUUCCGACGUCACGGAACUUAUUAACGCUUGCAAUAAGCUCAAGCACCUCACCCUGAGUUCCUGCAGACUGGUUGAUCAGCGGUCGGCGCUCAGGAUUGAUACCCCAUGCUCGGGGCUUCGGAGGCUCGACUGCAUCCGUUUUCGUUGUGAACGGAUCGAACUCAUCUCCGUCCCCGAGCUCAGGACAGUACUGUGCUGUUCUCGGCACUACGAGAACCCUCCAGUGCGCUUCGGCGACGUUCCCCAGCUUUGCCAUGUGAACCUUGGUUAUCUUGCCAAGGUGUCGCAAGCGCCAUUCAUGUUGAGUGAGUGCCUUUCAAGGAGUUCCAGGAAUCUGUCAAAACUGAAUCUCAAUUUCUUCAGCCAAACGAUUUGGAUUCAGCCGGAGCAGCCGAAGCGGCUCACUGCUAUAUUCAGAAACCUGACCGACAUGUAUCUUUUUGGUAUCUUCCCUGAGUGUGAUCUGAGCUGGACCCUGUUUAUCCUAGAAGCUGCACCUGCCCUACGGAAUUUCAAGUUAUCUCGAACUCGACAUGCAUGUGGCAAAAAGCUUUACGAUACUGCCGAAAAGACGAAUGUGGUGUGGGAGCCAUCGAAGGAUCUGAAGCAUCUGAACUUGAAGUUGCUGAUGAUGUUAGGGUUCGAGGAGGAGGUCAAGGUGACAAACUAUAUAAGGCUAGUCAUGGCACAUGUUGUGAGGUUGAAGAGAAUCGAGCUUCAUGGUGAGGACCCAUGCAAGGAGUGCAAUGCCAUUGACCCGAGGAGAUCCCAGGUGGAUGAAGCUAGCAGGCGUCAGAUUAAGGAGCGACUCACACUUGAAUCUUCCUUGUCUGCGAAGAUAAUAAUUUGUUGAUGGAGUCUUGACUGAGCCAUGCACAGCUGCAGAUGCGGAUGAUUAUAAAGAUCAUCAAGACAGACUGCAGUGUGGGUCUGUGAGACAAGCAUGCCGACUGUUUACUGCAGAGUCUUGACUCAGCCGUGCACAGUUGCAGAUGCGGAUGAUUAUCAAGACAGCCUGCAGUGUGAGUCUGUGAGACAAACAUGCCAACUGGCACUUGUUUUACGUAUUUUCCUGUUAUUAUGUGGAUGCACAAUGUAUCCAUGAAUUGAUUUGUUCUUCGUGUAACUGACACCAACUGUUAGUUGAAAUAGCUUCAUCGGUGGAGCUAUGACUUUUCACCAUUCAUGUCAUAUAUCAAUUCCCGUGUUUGCUUUUA